AUACGGAGGGUGCAAGCGUUAAUCGGAAUUACUGGGCGUAAAGCGCACGCAGGCGGUUUGUUAAGUCAGAUGUGAAAUCCCCGGGCUCAACCUGGGAACUGCAUCUGAUACUGGCAAGCUUGAGUCUCGUAGAGGGGUGGAGAAUUUCAGGUGUAGCGGGGAAAUGCGUAGAGAGCAUGAGGAAUACCGGUGGCGAAGGGGGCCCCCUGGACGAAGACUGACGCUCAGGUGCGAAAGCGUGGGGAGCAAACAGGAUUAGAUACCCUGGUAGUCCAGGCCGUAAACGAUGUCGACUUGGAGGUUGUGCCCUUGAGGCGUGGCUUCCGGAGCUAACGCGUUAAGUCGACCGCCUGGGGAGUACGGCCGCAAGGUUAAAACUCAAAUGAAUUGGCGGGG
This 396-nucleotide ribosomal RNA is filed under the name uncultured bacterium. RNAcentral describes it as "partial 16S ribosomal RNA". It matches the Rfam family "Bacterial small subunit ribosomal RNA", at positions 523 to 918 of the family's 1533-position model. The record is from RNAcentral.